UUUAAAUAUACAAAAUGCCCUGAUUUUCCUUAAUGACCCCGCCCACUCUCCUUUACUCACUAAAAUGCUCCUACACCAAUAUACCGUAGAGACCCCACCAAUAUUUUAUCUCCUUAUAGAUAUAUUCCUGCACCUAUUGAAAUAUUUCCACACAAUAUAUAUGCACACACUUAUAAAUAAACCUCAACUUACCCAGGCACCAUCACACGCCCCUAAAAGAUGCACAAGCAUCAUUUACACAUCUUACACCCUUAUUUUUUUCUCUUGCUUUGAACAAUCGAGAACAAUAACGUUCGGUGAUAAGCAAAACCAGCCCCAAAACGACCUCCAAUCUCAACCAAAAUGACUCCAAAUUUUUCUUAAGAUGACAACUCCGUUGGUUUUCCUCUUUUUUUAUCCAAUUUGUACAUGAUUAACGAGCUGUCUGAUUCUAAAAAAUCUAAAAACCUCCAGGUGUCUCUCUCAACGUUCUAAUCUCACGAUUCAUGGCGAAUUCAUCUAACAAUCGUUCAAUAUGUACGCAGCGUGGAUCGUUGAACGAUUAUUCCUAUUUGAAUUUUGAAAUUUCCCCCAAAAAUAUUAUCCCAAUUUCUAACCAUUUCCCCCUCUUUUCAUCUAUUAAUACCUCUUUUCCCUCACUAAAAGAGGUUGAAUUUCUUUGGAGAAAAUUGAAGAUUUUGGAGGAGCUCUAAUAUCACGUAAUCAAGAAAUUCAUCAUGAAACCUACUCAAAUCUGUUGAAAUCAUUCAAUUCCAGCAAAAAAACAUCUGAAUAUCGGCGCUAAACAAUUCAUUAGGAUUUAACAAAAUUAUUCUUUAGCUCGUAGUCUCAGUUUGUUGCUCCAAAAAAGAUUAGAUUGGAAUCUUCACUCCCCUUCCUGAAGAUCAUUCGCCGAGUCCAUUUGGACUCCCGUCUCCUUGAAUUUUCCUACUGGUCUCAAGAGGUCCAAAUUCUCGAGUCAAGGAACUGACUAAUAUACAGCUGAUUAUACAGGACUGAGAUUGAUAUACAACGAUAAAUAGGUGAAGAAGCAGGAAGUAUACAGGCCUGCAGCUGAUAUACUAUGAUAUACAAUCAUAGACGAGCCGAUAUACAAAGUAUAUACACCCAAAAAAAGCUUUUGAUAUAUUAACUGAUAUACAUCGGGAAAAUGGGCUGAAAGUCCAUGAAACUCAGGGUCCAAGAUCUGGACAGUGAAAUGGGCUGAAAGUCACAAUCUCUAUCUUUUUCUUUGUUUGUAAUUAUUUAAUUCAUUUGCUUAUAUGACCAAUUUAACUAAUCUCAAUAAAUUUUCUAAGAUGUUGCCAUUUUUA
This is a long non-coding RNA of Capsicum annuum, 1313 nucleotides long. RefSeq lists it as uncharacterized. The record is from RefSeq and is a predicted model, not a curated record. The transcript has 2 exons. Lineage: Eukaryota; Viridiplantae; Streptophyta; Magnoliopsida; Solanales; Solanaceae.